This 506-nucleotide ribosomal RNA is filed under the name uncultured bacterium. Its description in RNAcentral is "partial 16S ribosomal RNA". It matches the Rfam family "Bacterial small subunit ribosomal RNA", at positions 29 to 523 of the family's 1533-position model. The record is from RNAcentral.
AUUGAACGCUGGCGGCAGGACUAACACAUGCAAGUCGGACGGUAGCACAGAGGAGCUUGCUCUUCGGGUGACGAGUGGCGGACGGGUGAGUAAUGUCUGGGGAUCUGCCCGAUAGAGGGGGAUAACCACUGGAAACGGUGGCUAAUACCGCAUAACGUCGCAAGACCAAAGAGGGGGACCUUCGGGCCUCUCACUAUCGGAUGAACCCAGAUGGGAUUAGCUAGUAGGCGGGGUAACGGCCCACCUAGGCGACGAUCCCUAGCUGGUCUGAGGGGAUGACCAGCCACACUGGAACUGAGACACGGUCCAGACUCCUACGGGAGGCAGCAGUGGGGAAUAUUGCACAAUGGGCGCAAGCCUGAUGCAGCCAUGCCACGUGUAUGAAGAAGGCCUUCGGGUUGUAAAGUACUCUCAGCGGGGAGGAAGGCGAUGUGGUUAAUAACCGCGUCGAUUGACGUUACCCGCAGAAGAAGCACCGGCUAACUCCGUGCCAGCCGCCGCCGUAA